UAAGGGCGUAUGGGGGAUGUCUUGGCAUCAGAUGGCGAUGAAGGGCGUGGAAGACUGCGAUAAUCUUGGGGAAGUUGUCAAACGAGCGUUGAUCCCGAGGUUCCCGAAUUAUCAUAUACUGAAUACAUAGGUAUAUGAGGCACACGCGGUGAACUGAAACAUCUCAGUAACCGCAGGAAAGGAAAGCAACAGCGACUUCGUUAGUAGCGGCGAGCGAAAGCGAAUCUAGCCUAAACCGUCUUGCUUCGGCAAGGCGGGGUCGUGGGGCUUGUCAUUGUGGAGUUACAAAACUGUUUGCUAGAAGAAUUCGUUGGAAAGCGAAACCAUAGAGGGUGACAGUCCCGUAUUUGAAAGUAAACAGACUUCCGACAGGUACCCGAGUAGGUCCGGCCACGUGGAAUCCGGACUGAAUCUGGGAGGUCCAUCUCCUAAGGCUAAGUAUUCUCUGAUGACCGAUAGUGAAAAGUAGGGUGACCGAAAGAUGAAAAGAACCCCUGUUAGGGGAGGGAAAGAACCUGAAACCAUACGCUUACAAGCUGUCGGAGCACUAUUAUCUUCGGAUAAGUGUGACGGCGUGCCUUUUGCAUAAUGAUCCGGCGAGUUACCGUCAAUGGCUCGAUUAAGGCCUUCCGGGCCGUAGUCUCAGCGAAAGCAAGUCUGAAUAGGGCGUUUUGUCAGUGGCGGUAGACGCGAAACCAGGUGAACUACCCAUGAGCAGGUUGAAGCGCGGGUAAGACUGCGUGGAGGACCGAACCCACCUAGGUUGAAAACUGGGGGGAUGACUUGUGGGGAGGAGUAAAAGUCUAAUCAAACCUGGAGAUAGCUCGUUCUCUCCGAAAUAGCUUUAGGGCUAGCCUUGAGCCACUACGUAAUGGGGGUAGAGCACUGAUUUGGACUGGGGCCCUUCCCGGGUACCCACCCUAGUUAAACUCCGAAUACCAUUGCGAUUAUCUCAGGAGUCAGUCCACGAGGGAGAAGCUUCGUGGUCGAGAGGGAAACAACCCAGACCGCCUGCUAAGGUCCCAAAGUCUUGCUAAGUCACUAAGGAUGUUAAGAUACUGUGACAGCCAGGAUGUUGGCUUAGAAGCAGCCAUCAUUUAAAAAGUGCGUAAUAGCUUACUGGUCGAGUGUUUUAGCACCGAUAAUGAACGGGAGUAAGCAAGACACCGAAGCAGCGGAUUCAGCUCACGCUGAGUGGUAGGAGAGCGUUCCAGCACAGAUACAAGCCGUACCGAAAGGAGCGGUGUCGGGUGCUGGAAGUGAUUAUGCCGGAAUGAGUAACGAUAAAACAGGUGAGAAUCCUGUUCGCCGCAAACCUAAGGUUUCCUGGGGAAGGUAAUUCCGCCCAGGGUUAGCCGGUACCUUAGUUGAGGCCGAAAGGCGUAGACGAUGGAGAGCAGGUUAAUAUUCCUGCGCCGGAUAUGUGGACCGAUGGGGGGACGUUGUGUAGAUUGUGAUCGGGCUGACAGAAAUGCCCGUAGGGGAAGACAAGGUCGUGGAUAGGAAAAUCCGCCACAUCAGACCAAGGCUUUCACUCGAGUCCAAUGAUGACGAAGUCAUAUGACGCAUAACCAAGAAAAGCCUCUAAGGAUUGAAGCAUAUCUGACCGUACUAAAACUGACACAGGUAGGUGAGGCGCGUAGCCUAAGGCGCUCGAGAAAACGCUGGUUAAGGAACUCUGCAAAUUGACCCCGUAAGUUAGCGAUAAGGGGUGCCUCCGACGGUUCACGCUGUUGGAGGCCACAGAAAAUCGGCUCUGGCGACUGUUUACUAAAAACACAGGACUCUGCGAACUCGUAAGAGGAUGUAUAGAGUCUGACUCCUGCUCGGUGCCGGUAAGUUAAGGAAGAGGGUUAGCCUUCGGGCGAAGCUCGCAACCGAAGCUCCGGUAAACGGCGGCCGUAACUAUGACGGUCCUAAGGUAGCGAAGUUCCUUGUCGGGUAAGUUCCGACCUGCAUGAAAGGCG
This 1967-nucleotide ribosomal RNA is filed under the name Lingulaulax polyedra. Its description in RNAcentral is "Lingulodinium polyedra partial Bacterial large subunit ribosomal RNA". It matches the Rfam family "Bacterial large subunit ribosomal RNA", at positions 12 to 2001 of the family's 2925-position model. The record is from RNAcentral. Lineage: Eukaryota; Dinophyceae; Gonyaulacales; Lingulodiniaceae.